UACGGAGGGGGCAAGCGUUGUUCGGAAUUACUGGGCGUAAAGGGCGCGUAGGCGGCUUGGCAAGUUGGGCGUGAAAGCCCUGGGCUUAACCCAGGAAUUGCGCUUGAGACUGCCAGGCUUGAGUGCGGGAGAGGUGAGUGGAAUUCCCAGUGUAGAGGUGAAAUUCGUAGAUAUUGGGAAGAACACCAGUGGCGAAGGCGGCUCACUGGCCCGCAACUGACGCUGAGGCGCGAAAGCGUGGGGAGCAAACAGG
This 253-nucleotide ribosomal RNA is filed under the name uncultured bacterium. Its description in RNAcentral is "partial 16S ribosomal RNA". It matches the Rfam family "Bacterial small subunit ribosomal RNA", at positions 524 to 776 of the family's 1533-position model. The record is from RNAcentral.